GCACCUUCGGGUGUGAAUUAGCGGCGAACGGGUGAGGAACACGUGAGAAAUCUGCCUUCAACUCUGGGAUAACUCCGUAAAAACGGGGCUAAUACCGGAUAUGAGAUCUACAGGCAUCUGUGGAUCUGGAAAGUUUUUCGGUUGAAGAUGAUCUCGCGGCCUAUCAGCUUGUUGGUGAGGUAAUGGCUCACCAAGGCGACGACGGGUAGCCGGCCUGAGAGGGCGACCGGCCACACUGGGACUGAGACACGGCCCAGACUCCUACGGGAGGCAGCAGUGGGGAAUAUUGGGCAAUGGAGGAAACUCUGACCCAGCGACGCCGCGUGCGGGAUGAAGGCCUUCGGGUUGUAAACCGCUUUCAGCAGGGAAGAAGCGAAAGUGACGGUACCUGCAGAAGAAGCACCGGCUAACUAUGUGCCAGCAGCCGCGGUAAUACAUAGGAUGCAAGCGUUGUCCGGAAUUAUUGGGCGUAAAGAGCUCGUAGGUGGUUCGU
RNAcentral lists this ribosomal RNA (493 nucleotides) under uncultured Actinomycetes bacterium. Its description in RNAcentral is "bacterial SSU rRNA". It matches the Rfam family "Bacterial small subunit ribosomal RNA", at positions 74 to 583 of the family's 1533-position model. Lineage: Bacteria; Bacillati; Actinomycetota; Actinomycetes. The record is from RNAcentral.